This 69-nucleotide transfer RNA is filed under the name Ictidomys tridecemlineatus (thirteen-lined ground squirrel). RNAcentral describes it as "Spermophilus tridecemlineatus (thirteen-lined ground squirrel) tRNA". It matches the Rfam family "tRNA". From Rfam's summary of the family: Transfer RNA (tRNA) molecules are approximately 80 nucleotides in length. Their secondary structure includes four short double-helical elements and three loops (D, anti-codon, and T loops). Lineage: Eukaryota; Metazoa; Chordata; Mammalia; Rodentia; Sciuridae. The record is from Rfam by way of RNAcentral.
GGGGUUGUGGCUCAGUGGUAGAGUACUCACCUAGCAUGUGUGAGGUCCUGGGUUUGAUCCUCAGCACCA